Mus musculus (house mouse) is the source of this 4345-nucleotide long non-coding RNA. RefSeq annotates it as predicted gene 6999. The transcript is spliced from 15 exons. NCBI's taxonomy places the organism in Eukaryota, Metazoa, Chordata, Mammalia, Rodentia, Muridae. The record is from RefSeq and is a predicted model, not a curated record.
AAAAAAUAUUCAACAGCUUUUACCAGCCAGAGGCUCCAAUAUCCAAUCUCUGUCUCAAAUGAUAAAUGACAUUUGUCAGUUGACAAAGCGAAUGGCCUCAACCAUUUGAGGACAUGGUCCCGCUGUGCACAACGCUCCUGUUGAACCAGCCAAGAGCACCUUGAGGUGUGGAGGCCCAGACACUGGGCUGGUGCUGAGAGGCUGCAGCAGGAGGAUGGAUAUUAGGGAUGCUGGAUGGAGCCCCAGAUUGGACAGGGGUGCGUGAGGGCUCUAAACGGUGGAUUCUACUGGGAAGCCGGUGGUGACAGGGUGAGAGCCAAGGCUCAAUGACCCAGCCAUGUGUUCUAAGGCAUGGGAGGAUGACUUAAAUCCAGGUAACAGUAAUGGGAUCCAGAAACAACAGAAAAGUUAUGGCCCAUACAUCUUCAAUUGCAAUUACAGAAGGAAGUUUGCAAAGCCUUGGUGGAGGACUCUCUGAAGAAGGGCAAACAGUCCCCAAGGGGGAGGAGCUGCUUGCUGCAGGAACGCUGUCGCCAGCAAUUAUUAGUUCACUCCUGCUGGAUCUGUCCUAGAGGCCUCCCGUGCACAAGAAUGUGAAGACUGUUGGCAGCUGCUAGCUGGAGAAGCCCUGAUCCACCUCAAGGGACGAAGGUGGGACUCUCACAAGGUUGCUCCCUGACUCCCACCCUCACCCCUGCUCUUGGAAGAAAGAAUGCCUGCUUUCUUUUCAGCCUGGGUUCCAGCUGGGAUGCCUAGGGUGCAGUGUUCCAGAGAUGGUGGCUGGUCUUGGAGAAGGGAUAGAAGUUAGGCUAGAAGACUGGAACUUAUGCAAAUCAAGCUCAAGGGUGACUCAAGGAGAGCUUAACCCCUGCCUGUGUCCCCCUUCUCCUCAAUAGAGCCUGAUAGGACACCUUGCAAAGAAAGAAAAAGACUCCCAGGAAAACAUCCUUUAUGUUAAGUUGCCCAGGAGGGUUUGUGUGUUUGUAUGGGGAGGGCGAAGGAGACUUUCCCUCUGAAGCAAUUUCUUGCGAAAAUGGUCCACGAGUUGAAAUGCCUUUGGGGCAGAGAGGAUUAUCGGGAAGAAAAGCUGGUUCAGGAAACAGAACUGGGUUAAUGGCUGCAUUAGGUUUAGGCACAAGCCAAGCGAUUCUUCUGAGGUCUAGAGGUCUCUAGAACUUUUAUUUGGAAGAGUCAGGCUAUUUUGGGCUUCUGCACUGAAUGAUCCCAGGGGCUAUCGUUCUUCUUCACAUAGAUUAUUCAAUUAGGGGUAACCUAGGACACUAUAGAGACACGCACCAUUCCACAUGCCCACUUUCUUGUAUGAUAAAUCAUGAAUUCUCAGGUGCUAAAGUCACCGGAUUUCCCUGGUUUAAAACUUUCUCUUUUUGCCCCCUCCCAACCCACCAAACCUGCUUUGCUUUCCUUAGCAUAACUGACUACCAUAGAGAUAACUGGGAUUAUUCUCUUAGAGAGGCUUCCCAAACCCUUAAGGAAAACAGAGUAACACAGUGAGAGGGCCUGAUGAGACCUGGGGUGCCAUGGAAGCCAUGAUUACAAACCCGGGAGUUUGAUUUAUUUCUUAAAUUCAGACAUGAAGGCUAUUCGGUGUGGCAUGGAUUUUCUAUUUCUCCCCAAGUCCAGGAUUCCAUGCUAUUUCACAGUUACCUGCUUACGUCAGUCAAUUUACUUGUCUGCUUCAAGGUAGGUGGGUACAUCUUGGACUGAUGGAACACCAGGUAAUGGCCUCACUUUAAAAACGGAGAAACUGAGGCUCAGUUGGUCCUAUCUGUCACAUUUGCUUAAUAUACAUAUUAAUAUACAUGUACAUAUAUAUAUAUUUAAAGAGGUGAGCUGGAAGGGAAAGUCUGAGGAGAGACUCUCAAGUCAGGAGACAUUGCCCAGGGUCUCAUUGGCUGUUUGUUGACUGAACCGUUGAAGCCAUCUCUUCUUGGUUUCCUCAAUUAUAAAUUUUGAGUGUUGAGAUACAUAGCUUCAGAUAUUCUGUCUACUUCAUUCUUUGAUUUUUUUCCCCCCUCACAAAAGAUAAGAGGCUCUACUGGCAAAGAUGAAUGGUUGAAUUCUCUUAGGAGUCCACAUCUCAGCAGAGUUUAUAUACCAUCAAUAACUUGUUCAAAACACACAGGAAUCAUUUUCUUAGUUGUCUGUUGGUUAAUAUGAAGCUAAUGGGACUACUGUGUGAUCUUUCUAAUUUAAAUAGAAUGGACUAAAAAUCGGAUUGAUCCUUUAGUAGGCAUCUCAGUUUUGGCUGUUUUCAGCAUGUAAUCCCAUGUUUUGUGGAAAGGUAUUUUGCUCUAAAGUCUGAGUUGUUUAUGUAUAGUAAAGAUUACAGCUGACCUCUGUUCACGAUUACUGCAGGUAGUUUCUAUUAUGUAGGGAUUUCUCAGUGAUUGUUUUUGGUUAUUUGUUGUGGGCCCUCUGGAUCCCAUUGGAGAGCACAUGGUAACGAAGUAACCAGGAAACAGUGGCCUCCAUCGUUUCUACAAACGAGAUAAAUGAAGACACAUGCUGCCUAUGCCAGAACGACCACACCUGUCAUUUGAAGUCUGGGGAUUGAUUGGGAAGAAGAGGAACUGGAGAUUGUGUUCUCUCACACAGAACCCAACAGAAGUCACAUGAUUCAAGUUAACACAUCUAUGUAACAAAACCCAGACAAAAACUCCAUACAUCAAAGCUUGACAACGUGAUAUUUACAUGAUAUUUUGAAGGACUUUGGAACCAUUGAAAGACAAGCUUUGGAGUGGAGUUUGACUUUAUAAGUUAUCCCAUUCACCUCAUCUUCUUGAGAGAACCCCUAAGAACAUCCCUGAGUGGUGGAAAAUGGAGCAUGUUCAAUCAAGAACAGCCAAGUACUCAGGGGACUGCUAUAAAUGACACCGUUAGCUGCUAUGAUGCGAUCACCAUGUGCCUUUCAUAAGACCCAAACCAACAAGGGUAACCAUUGGUCAUAAGCUAAAAUCCUCAAAACUAAUUGGAAGUCGAAAGGGAAUACAACCUACAUCUCCGACCUCUUGAACAGCACAUUUAUUCACCAGUCCCAUAAGAUCAGGGCUCUGAGUGAGCCCGGAAGCCCAAGGAAUAAAGAUGAAGACAAAUGCACCAUAAAGGGAAAGAAAAGAAAUACUAAAACUAGAUCCAUCCCUCAAGAGAUCUCAUAGGCUCUACUUUCAAACUGACAUCCAGAGCCUGGCCACAUCCCACUGCCUCACAGCUCUCUCACAGGUUCACUUGAGCGUCUCUCUGUACAGCGGCUUCCCAUCUCCCACAGAAGAAAGCUCUACAUGACUAACCCCCUGCUUCUGAUCUCCUUCUCUGUUACCACAUCCCCGGUGUAUUCAUACUGCCUCCCUGUGUCUCAAAGCUUCCCAGGGUGAUGCAACCAAGUCCAUUGCUCAGAGUUUUCUGUGGAGGCAACAGCUGUGUAGUGUGGCCAGAUCUACACUGCAGAGGAAAAUGAGCAGAAAGCGAUUUGAUAUUCCAUCUGAGAAGAGCACAGACCAACCUUGACCCAAGAGUCUCUCACUCACUUAUUUACUUAGUGUUCUCACAAUAGCAACAAAGAUAUCUUCCUCCCACUUACUGCUGGAUUGAUGCUGGAAAUCCUGUGGGUACAGAUUCAUUCUGUUCACUUAAAACAUCUCAUUCUCCUAAAAUACAAACUUUACAGAGGGAAGCACAGCACAGGAGGGCUUAAUUAUUGAGCCCCACACAUCUUUAGGAUUCAAGCAGAGCCGUGUUUACCUGCCUUUUUUUUUUUUAACCUGACCACUGGUAUCAACUUUGAUGCUUGAAGGAGGCGACUGGAUCAUCAUCUUUCUGGAUGAGAGAGAUGUGAGGGGCUUUGGGACACUAGGCUCCAGUUCGGUGGCUUGAAAGUACAAUGGACCAUGAAGAUUCUACACAACCAUGUUGGCAGCAGCAAUGUACUCACUGAUGGACCCAUCCUCAGCCUCUGGAGACCACUGUUCUAUUGUCUAGCUCUAUAAGAUCAACGUUCUAGACGCAUAGACAAUUAUCCCAAAUGGUAGAAGAAGCAGGAAAUUAUGUAUUGCCCUAUAUAUGACAUUCCCUCCUGGAGAGCACGCCAUUUAUCAUGGCUUUUUAAUCUCCUCUGUGUGCAAGAGAAGAUAAAACAUCUCAAUAUUUCAGUGUUUGGAGAAGAUUAAAGCACCAGCAAACAUUCUUGUUUGUUUUGUCCACUCCUUGGGCUGCAUCUAAGUGGGUCAGAGUGACUUAGGUGACUUGUAUACGCCAUCAAGAAUUUGGCUGUUGACUUUAAGUUUGUGGGAACCCUGAGGAAGUCAUGUAAGGACCCCUAGCAGAAAAG